CGCCGCUCAUCCAAUAUUCUAUAACCUAGUGAAAGAACAUUUGAGUUCAUCCCCUCCAAACCGCUGCGAAGGUGAUUUCAAAACAAAUUGAUUCCCGGUACCUAAAUGCGAUAUCUGUCGAGUCUUUUAAUUUCUCGAAGGGUUCUGGUCAAUUGUGCACCUUCAACUCGCGACAGCUAGGGCUUUGAAGGAGUAAGUAUGUCGCCUGAAUGAUGUUUUAAUCCUUUAUUUUUUUGGAUAAAUUGCUUGGGAAAGAAAAUUUCGCUUUGCUAAGAUUUGUCUUCAUUAAGCAGUGCAAAUUUCUUUGGGAUGGUAGGGUUUUUGACUGAGUGGAAUUUUUUUUUUCCAGCUCCACAUCCAUUUGAAGGCUUCUGUUCUAUUGGGGAUCUUUGACUCGCGACAACUAGGUAUUUUGAUUUUUUCGAAUGAAUUCCUGAUAUGUUGGUCAUUGAUUUUUUCGGAUGCAAUAUGUUUGGUCAUUGAUUUUUUUCGAAUGAAUUCUUGAUAUUUUGUUGCACUUUGACAAUUGAAGUAUGAUGUGUCAUCGAUUACCUUUUGUUUCUGUUCUGUUUAUUUGAAUUCGUGAUAUA
RNAcentral lists this long non-coding RNA (590 nucleotides) under Salvia miltiorrhiza (redroot sage). Its description in RNAcentral is "long non-coding RNA (SMIL_LNC004959)". The record is from RNAcentral. Lineage: Eukaryota; Viridiplantae; Streptophyta; Magnoliopsida; Lamiales; Lamiaceae.